AACGAACGCUGGCGGCAGGCCUAACACAUGCAAGUCGAGCGAGGACUUCGGUCCUAGCGGCGGACGGGUGAGUAACGCGUGGGAACGUGCCCUUUGCUUCGGAAUAGCCCUGGGAAACUGGGAGUAAUACCGGAUGAGCCCUUCGGGGGAAAGAUUUAUCGGCGAAGGAUCGGCCCGCGUUGGAUUAGGUAGUUGGUGGGGUAAUGGCCUACCAAGCCGACGAUCCAUAGCGGGUUUGAGAGGAUGAUCAGCCACACUGGGACUGAGACACGGCCCAGACUCCUACGGGAGGCAGCCGUGGGGAAUCUUAGACAAUGGGGGAAACCCUGAUCGAGCCAUGCCGCGUGAGCGAUGAAGGCCUUAGGGUUGUAAAGCUCUUUCAGCUGGGAAGAUAAUGACGGUACCAGCAGAAGAAGCCCCGGCUAACUCCGUG
Molecule: ribosomal RNA, 433 nt
Filed under: uncultured bacterium
Lineage: Bacteria
Description: partial 16S ribosomal RNA
Rfam family: Bacterial small subunit ribosomal RNA
Source: RNAcentral